This 253-nucleotide ribosomal RNA is filed under the name uncultured bacterium. Its description in RNAcentral is "partial 16S ribosomal RNA". It matches the Rfam family "Bacterial small subunit ribosomal RNA", at positions 524 to 776 of the family's 1533-position model. The record is from RNAcentral.
GACAGAGGGUGCAAACGUUGUUCGGAAUUACUGGGCGUAAAGCGCGUGUAGGCUGCUUCGCAAGUCGGAUGUGAAAGCCCGGGGCUCAACCCCGGGAGGCGGGUGGAUACUGUCAAGCUCGAGUCCGGAAGAGGCGAGUGGAAUUCCAGGUGUAGCGGUGAAAUGCGUAGAUAUCAGGAAGAACACCAAUGGCGAAAGCAGCUCUCUGGGACGGUACUGACGCUGAGACGCGAAAGCGUGGGGAGCGAACAGG